AGGAAGUGGGGAUGACGUCAAAUCAUCAUGCCCUUAUGACCUGGGCUACACACGUGCUACAAUGGGCGGUACAAAGGGUCGCGAACCCGCGAGGGGGAGCCAAUCCCAAAAAGCCGCUCUCAGUUCGGAUUGCAGGCUGCAACUCGCCUGCAUGAAGCCGGAAUCGCUAGUAAUCGCGGAUCAGCAUGCCGCGGUGAAUACGUUCCCGGGCCUU
RNAcentral lists this ribosomal RNA (214 nucleotides) under uncultured Anoxybacillus sp. Its description in RNAcentral is "partial 16S ribosomal RNA". It matches the Rfam family "Bacterial small subunit ribosomal RNA", at positions 1168 to 1382 of the family's 1533-position model. The record is from RNAcentral. Lineage: Bacteria; Bacillati; Bacillota; Bacilli; Caryophanales; Anoxybacillaceae.